This 1504-nucleotide long non-coding RNA is filed under the name Oryctolagus cuniculus (rabbit). RNAcentral's name for it is "lncRNA (ENSOCUG00000034112.1)". Lineage: Eukaryota; Metazoa; Chordata; Mammalia; Lagomorpha; Leporidae. The record is from RNAcentral.
AGGCUCAAAUUUUUAGAGAAGUUAUUUACAUGUGGAUGCUAAAACACUUAUUUUCCUCAACUCUAAUCCACCCCCCCCCCCGACUCUGAAAAUCACUCAUAAAUCUUUGGAUAUGCUUUAUCCUCCCUUUUGAUACUUUCAUUUGGGAAAAUACUACAUUCCAGGCAGAACUUUCCAGUGCCCUUUCCACUGAGUUGCCAUGACCUUGGCAAAUAUCUCCCUGAUGUAAAUAUUUGCUCAUGAUCCCUCAAAAUAUUUCAACAAUCCUGGACAAAGUAAAAUACUUUUCUCAGCAGCAAUAUUAGUGUUGCUUUUUCUUGGAUCAUUUUAAAAUUAUGGUAGUAAACAUUUAGGAAGGCACCAGAACACAACAGAUUAUAUAUUUUUCCGUGGCAAACUUUAUUUCAAAUUUGUUUUCUUUUUUGCCUUUUCCUCAAAGAAGGAGCAACGGAUACUGGUAAUCCAAAUGUGCCAUUUAUUCAGGGAGCAGUCAUAAAAACUGAAGUUAAACCUUUUUUUUUUUUCACAUUUCAUGCACCACAGGCCCUCGUAUAUGGAGUUUGCAAGUUUUUGACAUCAGCUGAGUUUUGCAAAUCUUUUGCAAAAGCACCGAGUUUAUACCAUGCAGACCUAUUGGUAAUCCACCCCUCUGGUUUCCUUCCUACUGAGUUUAUUGUUCAAACUCACAGGUAAAGCAGUAUGAUCCUGAGGCUCUUGCAGGCAGCUGGAAGCACACAGAGCAAGACUCACCCACUGAUUCCUUUGGUUUUCUUGAGCUUUUGAACUGCUUUGACUUGGAGAGGUUGAAGACAAGCCAUCUGGCUCCGGGUGCUUCUAAGACACGGCUUCCAGCCUACCUCCGACAAGGUGACCCACCCUCUGGACCAAGCAGGACAACGCUUCCUGAGGCCACUCUCAAGCACCUUGGACAGAUAGCAAGAGAAAAAUACCCAUAUCCAUCGCUACACUCACUUGUCAGCUCUGAAGUAGCUAUAGAAGCCGGAACUCUGCCCAUUUAUCCCCAUAAAAGAAUUAUGUUAUUUUUUCUUGAGGGGGGAUAUGUUAGGUAGGAAGUCAGAAAUUAAGCCUAUGUGUGUAUGAGAAAGGCCAGAAGACCAGCACCCACUGCGGAAGCUCCAGAAGCCCAGCAUCUUGCACUUCAAAGUCCUGACCCUUCUACUCAAUAAUCUUCCAGGUGCAGCCUAGUAUUGGCACCUCAAAGUCCCACCUGGAAUUAACAGUAAAACUACUACUCAAACAGUACUCUAGACUUUGUGUGUCUGUGUGGGUGCAGUCUGUUGAAAUCUUUACUUGGUAUAUACUAAGUUGAUCUUCUGUAUAUAAAGAUAAUUGAAAAUGAAUCAUGAUGAUGAAUGGGAUGGGAGAGAGUGGGAGAUUGGAUGGUUGCGGGUGGGAGGGAGGUUAUGGAAGGAAAAGCCGCUAAAAUUCAAAAAUUGUGCUUUGGAAAUUUAUAUUUAUUAAAUAAAAGUUAAAAAACAAAACA